This is a non-coding RNA of Dermatophagoides pteronyssinus (European house dust mite), 80 nucleotides long. NCBI's taxonomy places the organism in Eukaryota, Metazoa, Arthropoda, Arachnida, Sarcoptiformes, Pyroglyphidae. The record is from the annotation of a RefSeq genome assembly.
GGCAAGGUGGCCGAGUGGUCUAAGGCGCCAUGUUCAGGUCAUGGUCCUAACGGGCGUGGGUUCGAAUCCCACCCUUGUCA